AGAAUCAACGCUGGCGGCGUGCCUAACACAUGCAAGUCGAACGAGAAAGUGGAGCAAUCCAUGAGUAAAGUGGCGCACGGGUGAGUAACACGUGACUAACCUACCCUUGAGUGGGGGAUAACCUAGGGAAACCUGGGCUAAUACCGCAUAAUAUCGAGAGAUCAAAGGAGCAAUUCGCUUAAGGAGGGGGUCGCGGUUGAUUAGCUAGUUGGUGAGGUAAUGGCUCACCAAGGCUAUGAUCAGUAUCCGGCCUGAGAGGGCGCACGGACACACUGGAACUGAAACACGGUCCAGACUCCUACGGGAGGCAGCAGUGGGGAAUUUUGCGCAAUGGGGGAAACCCUGACGCAGCAACGCCGCGUGGAGGAUGAAGUCCCUUGGGACGUAAACUCCUUUCGAUCGGGACGAUAAUGACGGUACCGGAAGAAGAAGCCCCGGCUAACUUCGUGCCAGCAGCCGC
RNAcentral lists this ribosomal RNA (460 nucleotides) under uncultured bacterium. Its description in RNAcentral is "SSU rRNA". It matches the Rfam family "Bacterial small subunit ribosomal RNA", at positions 26 to 518 of the family's 1533-position model. The record is from RNAcentral.